Chrysemys picta bellii (western painted turtle) is the source of this 1187-nucleotide non-coding RNA. NCBI's taxonomy places the organism in Eukaryota, Metazoa, Chordata, Testudines, Emydidae. The record is from RefSeq and is a predicted model, not a curated record.
CAAUCUAUUUGCUUAAGAGAACUGCACUAAGAAAUAUCAGUGUUUUAGUGCUUCAAAAGGAUGCCAAUCUACUAACAAAUACAGGAAAAUCUAGGACCUUUAUUUGGGGAGUGAGACAAGCAAGGUCCCAGCAGCUGAGACCACCAAACCACUGCUGCAUGGAGUGGAAGGCUUCCUCAACUGCUACAUGCUUUAAAGAAGGACAGUAGAAGGAGAAAUAUCCCUCAAAUGAUGGAGAGGAAAUGGGAAGGAAAGAGGUGGCUUCAUAGCUGUUUGUGAAUGAAACAGAAAAGCCACUAUUCUAGAAGACACUUCAGGAGGCUUAAGUAGAAGAAACUGAGAGCAAGGAUGUCUGAGAGACGGAGCCCUAAAACUGACAAACACAACACUUGCUAUCCCAGACUUGCCAGGAGACUUUGGGGACCAAAUCCAUGAUGCAAUGCACGGCGAAUGUUCAGUCAAGUGGAAGAGGUACUCUUGCAUUGUGAGGGUAAAAGGUAGGCCACAGCUGGAAUUUAAUAGGACCUGUUAGUUCCUAGUGGACAGUGAACCUGGAGUGACAGUGAUGGGUGGGUGCCAAGGGAACCAACUGAGCUUCCAUUUCUGAGAGUUUUUCACCAACUUGGCUUGGCGACUGUGAAAGGCCAUUGGAACAGUGAGGGGAAGUAGAGAAAAGGCGAAGACUGGAAGCUUUCCUGAAUCUGUGUGAGUAUUUUUGAGAGCAUCCAGUUUCCCCCCCUUGGUGGACUCGUCCUUCCACAGCUCCUCCAGAAUGAUUUGUUCUUCUGGUUCCAAAGAGGGCUUCCUCUGUGGCAUGGGCCUUUCAGUGCUUGUUUUUGAGCCAGCUAGAUGGGGUGGCACAAGAGCAAUAGAAGACAUUCUUCUUCUGUGAGGGGCUGAGCAUGUUGCCCUCCUUCUACCCAUACUUUGUGAGGGUAGAAGGAGGGAAUCACUACAGUACUGCCACUUCUUGCCAACCCAGGAGCUUGGGCCCAAAAUAAAUUUUAUCACUGAAAUAAGACAGUAUGAAGCUUUAACUUUCUUCACAGUUAGAGAAAUCAUUCCUACAGAAUAUCCGACAUGGGGUUGGAUGACAUAGAUGUCAGUGUUGUGAGCCUACACUGAUCCUGAAAUGCACUAUCUUAGGUCCCAGUCCAGGAGAUCAGUUAAGCACAUACUUAACUUUA